AAGUCGUAACAAGGUUUCCGUAGGUGAACCUGCGGAAGGAUCAUUAUCGAGUUAGGGUUCCCUCCGAGGGCCCGACCUCCAACCCGGUGUCUAAAUUACCAAACGUUGCUUCGGCGGGCCCGCCUGUAAUAGGGCCGCCGGGGGUCUUGUACCUCUGGCCCGUGCCCGUCGAUAGCCCACAACAAACUCUUGAUCAACCGUGUCCUGUCUGAAUGAUACUUAUAAUAAGCACAAAACUUUCAACAACGGAUCUCUUGGUUCUG
Molecule: unclassified non-coding RNA, 263 nt
Filed under: air metagenome
Description: partial contains small subunit ribosomal RNA, internal transcribed spacer 1, and 5.8S ribosomal RNA
Rfam family: Eukaryotic small subunit ribosomal RNA (bases 1-46)
Source: RNAcentral